Molecule: ribosomal RNA, 450 nt
Filed under: uncultured bacterium
Lineage: Bacteria
Description: bacterial SSU rRNA
Rfam family: Bacterial small subunit ribosomal RNA
Source: RNAcentral
GACGAACGCUGGCGGUGUGCUUAACACAUGCAAGUGGUGCGACGAACCAGAGCUUGCUCUGGGGCAAAGCCGCGAACGGGUGAGUAACACGUGGGUAAUCUACCCCGAUGACUGGGACAACCCGAGGAAACUCGGGCUAAUACCGGAUGUGGUACGGAAACAUAAGUUUCUCUACUAAAGGUAGCUUCGGCUUCCGCAUUGGGAGGGGCCCGCGGCCCAUUAGCUAGUUGGUGGGGUCAAGGCCUACCAAGGCAACGAUGGGUAGCUGGUCUGAGAGGACGAUCAGCCACACUGGGACUGAGACACGGCCCAGACUCCUACGGGAGGCAGCAGUGGGGAAUCUUGCGCAAUGCGCGAAAGCGUGACGCAGCAACACCGCGUGAGGGAAGACGGCCUUAGGGUUGUAAACCUCUUUCAGAUGGGACGAAGGUGAUGCGGUGAAUAGCCGAU